UUUAAGUAAGAACAAUGUAUAUAAUAUUAAAUAUUUCAAAUGUGCCAAGUUACAUACUCCAUUGUAUAUCAAAACAGUAAAAAUUGUAAUUAUUACAACUAAUUAGAGUUAGAAAUUAACAAAGAGAAAUUAAUAAAGAAAAUCUCUUAAAAUUUCUACAUUUCUUCAUGUUCAGUAUUAGUAUUAUCUUGACGUCCAACCUGAAACAAUUAAACAAAACGUACAAAUCUUUUAAAAUAUUAUCAAGUUUGUAAAUAAAAUAAUAUAUAAAUGCAAAAUACCUAGCCUAUAACAUUGAAUGCAAAUGAUAUGUCCAUACCUGAACCAAGUAAAGGAACAUGAGUGGAAGUAGAUGAACGUGGAGCAACUACAAUGUUUUCUUUCCCUAAAGCCCAUGAGUAUUAAGUUGCAAGAAAACUGUUAUAACUAGAUUUAUAAGAUGAAAGAGAAGCAAUUAACACAAAACCAAUUGAGCUCAAACUCUAACAAAGUUUAUUGAUCCCAUUCAGUGCAUAUACUCUUGUUUUUUCCUAUUCAUAGCAUUUUCUUUACUGACUCCUCAGUGCUGCAAAAAUAAGUACGAGGGUCAUGUAUAUUUCCUAAAUUAAAUAUUUGAUGACCUAUUUAUUGAUUAAAUCUAUUUUGCAAAGGUAAGAUUAUUUCUCAGUAAAUCUAUAACUUUAAGUAGCUUAAACCAACACUUCCCUAGUGAUAUUAUGUACUAAAAUACCAGUAUAUAACUGCAACCCACAAAUAUAAUGAACAUGCAAAUACCAGUUUACCUAAGAAUAAUCAACCUAUCUCAAAUGCUAUAGAAAAACUAAGAUAAGUUAGAGCAGAAGUUCACCUCUGAAAUGGCUAUAGUGGACCACCAAUUGAAGAAGCAAUGUUGAUAUAUUUCGCAGGCAAUGAUUUGCCAUACCAUUCACUUCAAUAACAUACCCUUUAUAAACAGGGACAAUUUCCUGAAAACAGAACCAAAAAUUAAAAACAAAAACUGAAAAUAGAA
This 1009-nucleotide long non-coding RNA is filed under the name Phaseolus vulgaris (common bean). RNAcentral's name for it is "long non-coding RNA (PVUL_LNC003167)". Lineage: Eukaryota; Viridiplantae; Streptophyta; Magnoliopsida; Fabales; Fabaceae. The record is from RNAcentral.